UCGAACGCGAAAGUGGAGCAAUCCAUGAGUAGAGUGGCAAACGGGUGAGUAACGCGUGGGCGACCUACCUCAGAGUGGGGGAUAACCUUCCGAAAGGAGGGCUAAUACCGCAUGACAUCCUUCGUUUAGAUACGAGGUGAUCAAAGCCGGGGAUCGUAAGACCUGGCGCUUGGAGAGGGGCCCGCGUCCGAUUAGCUAGUUGGUGAGGUAACGGCUCACCAAGGCUCCGAUCGGUAUCCGGCCUGAGAGGGCGGACGGACACACUGGAACUGAGACACGGUCCAGACUCCUACGGGAGGCAGCAGUGGGGAAUUGUUCGCAAUGGGCGCAAGCCUGACGACGCAACGCCGCGUGGAGGAUGAAGACCUUCGGGUCGUAAACUCCUUUCGACCGAGAUGAAUUCCUGCCGGCCUAACAUGCCGGCGGGUUGACAGUAUCGAGGGAAGCAGCCCCGGCUAACUCCGUGCCAGCAGCCGCGGUAAUACGGGGGGGGCAAGCGUUGUUCGGAAUUACUGGGCGUAAAGGGUUCGUAGGUGGCUCGCUAAGUCAGACGUGAAAUCCCUCAGCUUAACUGGGGAACUGCGUCUGAGACUGAUGAGCUUGAGUGCAGGAGAGGAACGCGGAAUUCCAGGUGUAGCGGUGAAAUGCGUAGAUAUCUGGAGGAACACCGGUGGCGAAGGCGGCGUUCUGGACUGCAACUGACACUGAGGAACGAAAGCCAGGGGAGCAAACGGGAUUAGAUACCCCGGUAGUCCUGGCCCUAAACGAUGAAUGCUUGGUGUGGCGGGUAUCGAUCCCUGCCGUGCCGGAGUUAACGCGUUAAGCAU
This 827-nucleotide ribosomal RNA is filed under the name uncultured Bacillota bacterium. Its description in RNAcentral is "bacterial SSU rRNA". It matches the Rfam family "Bacterial small subunit ribosomal RNA", at positions 62 to 867 of the family's 1533-position model. The record is from RNAcentral. Lineage: Bacteria; Bacillati; Bacillota.